RNAcentral lists this long non-coding RNA (315 nucleotides) under Rhinopithecus roxellana (golden snub-nosed monkey). RNAcentral's name for it is "lncRNA (ENSRROG00000046003.1)". The record is from RNAcentral. Lineage: Eukaryota; Metazoa; Chordata; Mammalia; Primates; Cercopithecidae.
AUGCCGAAGGAUCAGAGAGAAGAAAAGGGAAUGGAGUUUUCUGGGACAGUGUUGGAGACAGGCACAGAUGUCAGCACAGUUAAAGAGGACCUGUGGCAGAUUCCAGAAAAGGUCUCCCUACAAGAAGCUGCUGUCCUCCCUAUAACUUGUGGCACUGCAAUUUUUGCUCUUGAGCAUCGGGCCCAUUCCCAGCCUGGCCUGGCAUGGGAGGGCAGGAUUGUGGUGGUGGGAUUUGCUGGAGGAAACAUUGCUUCUGUACCAGCCAACCGUCUGCUCCUGAAGAAUGUCUCUGCCAUGGGCCUGUACUGUGACUGA